Molecule: long non-coding RNA, 1218 nt
Organism: Oncorhynchus tshawytscha (Chinook salmon)
Lineage: Eukaryota; Metazoa; Chordata; Actinopteri; Salmoniformes; Salmonidae
Source: Ensembl
UGACGGCCUACCCCGGCCAAACCCUAGCCCGGACGAUGCUGGGCCAAUUGUGCGCCGCCCUAUGGGACUCCCAAUCACAACCGGUUGUGAUACAGCCUGGAAUCGAACCAGGGUCUGUAGUGACGCCUCUUGCAUUGAGAUGCAGUGCCUUAGACCGCUGUGCCACUCGGGAGAAAGAAAAAAAUGUAUUCUGCUCUCCCUUUGUCCUCCUUUCUCUCUCCAUUCUCCCUUUCUCUCUCCAUUCUCCCUUUCUCUCUCCAUUCUCCCUUUCUCUCUCCAUUCUCCCUUUCUCUCUCCAUUCUCUCCAUUCUCCCUUUCUCUCCAUUCUCCCUUUCUCUCUCCAUUCUCCCUUUCUCUCUCUUCUCCCUCCUACAGAUGGGAGGUCAAGUGUUUUAUUUCUUCAACAAGGUUAUCCCUCCACUAACGCCUACACUACACAAUACCAGAAUUCACCCUUCAUGACUCUCUUCUGUAAAGGACUAAGUGGAGAGACAGUUAGGACCUUUUGCAGCCGUUCCAUUGAGGUGAGGAGUCCAAAGACUAUUGUUGUAACUAUGGAUGGAAGGUUUCUGGUACAAGGUUACUCUUUCUUCUGGCCUCUUCUAUGUGUGUGUAUCUGGGGGAGGGGUGUACGUGGAUGUCUUUGCAUGUGUGUGUUUGUGAGAGUGUUAGUGAGAGUGUGUGUUUGUGUGUGUUUAUGUUUGUAAGUGCGUGUUUGUGCGUGUGUAAAUGUGUGUGUGCCGGAUCUCUGCUCCCCCUUGUCCCUGGUAGCCAGGUGGAGGAAUGGCCAAGGUGAGUCACAUACAAAAGAAAUUGCCAGAGUGAACGUUCAAAUCCAAUUUACAGUGAAUGUUCAGUUUGAGAGCAGGAUAUUUCCACACCCUUCCACUGACGCACACACAGAACUCUAUGAAUGCACAAACACAUGCCCACACAAACAGAUAGGCUCAUCUAAAGGCCUCACACAAACAGAUAGGUUCAUCUAAAGGCCUCACACAAACAGAUAGGCUCAUCCAAAGGCCUCACAACAAACAGAUAGGCUCAUCCAAAGGCCUCACACAAACAGAUAGGCUCAUCCAAAGGCCCCACAACAAACAGAUAGGCUCAUCCAAAGGCCCCACAACAAACAGAUAGGCUCAUCCAAAGGCCUCACAACAAACAGAUAGGCUCAUCCAAAAGGCCUCACACAAACAGAUAGGCUCAUCCAAAGGCCCCACA